Molecule: long non-coding RNA, 306 nt
Filed under: Solanum tuberosum (potato)
Lineage: Eukaryota; Viridiplantae; Streptophyta; Magnoliopsida; Solanales; Solanaceae
Description: long non-coding RNA (STUB_LNC007111)
Source: RNAcentral
UGGCGGAGUGAAUGUAGAGUCAAUUCGGUUGAGGCGAUGUCGACACGCAAAUUUGAUGUCGGCACUCAUUCAUGUUAAUUGUUCAGUAUUUGCUAUAUCACCUCCAAAAUGUAAAAUUCCACCCAUUUCAUGUUUGUGAUUGUAAGAGAUGGAUUCUUCAAAUAGAUUGCAAAUCAUUUUUUCAUUGUGUUCUUGAAUUAUAACUUUACAAACUUGGAAAAAAUUACAUUUGUUGUGGUUGUUGUAGAGAAGAAAGAAUUCAAUUUCUUUGUCUUAGAGAUCUAGAGAUGUGUUAAAGAUAGGUAU